UACGUAAGGACCGAGCGUUGUCCGGAAUUAUUGGGCGUAAAGGGUACGUAGGCGGUUAGAAAAGUUAGAAGUGAAAGGCUAUAGCUCAACUAUAGUAAGCUUUUAAAACUGUUUAACUUGAGAGAUGGAAGGGAGAGUGGAAUUCCUAGUGUAGCGGUGAAAUGCGCAGAUAUUAGGAGGAAUACCGGUGGCGAAGGCGACUUUCUGGCCAUUAUCUGACGCUGAGGUACGAAAGCGUGGGUAGCAAACAGGAUUAGAAACCCGGGUAGUCC
This 272-nucleotide ribosomal RNA is filed under the name uncultured Anaerococcus sp. RNAcentral's name for it is "partial 16S ribosomal RNA". It matches the Rfam family "Bacterial small subunit ribosomal RNA", at positions 524 to 796 of the family's 1533-position model. Lineage: Bacteria; Bacillati; Bacillota; Tissierellia; Tissierellales; Peptoniphilaceae. The record is from RNAcentral.